Molecule: long non-coding RNA, 556 nt
Filed under: Trifolium pratense (red clover)
Lineage: Eukaryota; Viridiplantae; Streptophyta; Magnoliopsida; Fabales; Fabaceae
Description: long non-coding RNA (TPRA_LNC009414)
Source: RNAcentral
UCAUAAUUGCAAGGUCCCUAAAAUUACAAAAAGAAAGAUUAAAAAACAGAAUUAUUGGGUGAAAAACAAUAACUAAAUGGAAACUCAUGGUAUAUUCUAACAUAAAGUAUACUCCUUGAUUAGAAAAAAUUAAAAAACAGAAUUAUUAGGAGUAUUGCAUAGAUUUAUGUUCUUAGUAUAUGAACUAAUUCUUGUCUACUGUAGCGGGCUCCUUUGAUAAAUUACACAUGUUGUCAAUGCACCUCCAGAUAUAAUGAACAUCGGGUUUACGAAUUUUUGGGCAAUCAUCGUCAGUAUCACAUCUAAGUGCUGUAAAGAAAAACCAUAAAAAAAAUAAUGUUACUAAAAAUAGAUAAAAGAUUGUGUGCAAACUACAAACAAAAGAAGAAAACAUGGAAAUGAUUUAAAAUGGAUCACCAUCAACAUUCUUUAUGACAAGUAAUAGGGAAAGAAAUAAAAGCACCACAUAAACAAACUUGAUGGUUUUAACCAUAUUUUUAUUUCUUUUAACUUAACAAAUAGAAUAUUAUUUGAUCAUUUACAAUGUAUAAUGUUC